CAGUCGCCGCGGGAAUACAGAGGGUGCGAGCGUUAAUCGGAUUUACUGGGCGUAAAGCGUGCGUAGGCGGCUUCUUAAGUCGGAUGUGAAAUCCCUGAGCUUAACUUAGGAAUUGCAUUCGAUACUGGGAAGCUAGAGUAUGGGAGAGGAUGGUAGAAUUCCAGGUGUAGCGGUGAAAUGCGUAGAGAUCUGGAGGAAUACCGAUGGCGAAGGCAGCCAUCUGGCCUAAUACUGACGCUGAGGUACGAAAGCAUGGGGAGCAAACAGGAUUAGAUACCCCAGUAGUCCCUGUCUCUUAUAC
Molecule: ribosomal RNA, 301 nt
Filed under: uncultured bacterium
Lineage: Bacteria
Description: partial 16S ribosomal RNA
Rfam family: Bacterial small subunit ribosomal RNA
Source: RNAcentral